CACCACUUACCUGAAACUCUACUCCCCUGCCACAAUCUCCUUUCACAGUUGGGUAUUAUACUUCUGUAACCACUCACCUCCAGUCCGCCCUUGCUCCUCCUGUGGUCUUCAGUGAUUUGCGCUGUUUGGGAUGGCUUCCCCAUUCAUCCUCCAUGACACUGACACUCUGUCUGCAAUGCCAGUAAAAAAACUCUCUAGCCAGCACUAGCAACAGAAGGGCCACCUGUGGGAGGACUUUUC
This is a non-coding RNA of Pelobates cultripes (western spadefoot toad), 240 nucleotides long. Lineage: Eukaryota; Metazoa; Chordata; Amphibia; Anura; Pelobatidae. The record is from the annotation of a GenBank genome assembly.